UACGUAGGGUGCGAGCGUUGUCCGGAAUUAUUGGGCGUAAAGAGCUUGUAGGCGGUUUGUCGCGUCUGCUGUGAAAUCUCAAGGCUCAACCUUGAGCUUGCAGUGGGUACGGGCAGACUAGAGUGUGGUAGGGGAGACGUGGAAUUCCUGGUGUAGCGGUGAAAUGCGCAGAUAUCAGGAGGAACACCGAUGGCGAAGGCAGG
Molecule: ribosomal RNA, 203 nt
Filed under: uncultured bacterium
Lineage: Bacteria
Description: partial 16S ribosomal RNA
Rfam family: Bacterial small subunit ribosomal RNA
Source: RNAcentral